CUCAUUGGGCCUCAGUAAACAGCAACACAUUACACAGCUCUCCGGGUUAAAGGAAGAAAGGUGCCCAUGAUAGUGUCCAGCAGCUGAAGACUGUGGUCAUGGACAGACACACGUGCACACCAUGGGCUGCCACGCUGAAGCCAUUACUAGACCAAAGAGGGGUGCUGGAAACUUCUGGAAACAGAUUGUAAACAUGAAUGGGAAGAGGGAAGGACUGUCCGCACGACUGAACACACAAUACUGUACAAGGACCCAAGUGUGUGUGAACAUUCAGUGCCAAUGCAUCUGCCCAGUGUAUCCAUUCUCACCAUCUGUUCUUCACUGCCAACAAAGCCACCAUUCUGAUCAAAGCUUUGGCUCCUGCAAACAUGCACCCCCUCCUUUCAAGUUUCUUUAUAGCCUUUGCCCUCCACUCCCUUUUUUCCAUAAUCCUACUCUAUAUUGCAUCAGAACCUACUAAUAUACAACAAUCAGUAGUGGCUGCUGUCCAGUGUUGAGUGAAUUACUUAAGAAAACAGUACUAACCAUUUAAUACGUAACCUAAUCUCUUAGAUUGCUUUAACGGUGUACUCUAUGUAAUGUAAUGUAGCUCUAAUGUAAUGCAGUGUGGCUUUAUAGACUACACUAUAUGUCCCAACAUUUGUACACACCUGCUCAUGCAACAUUUCUUCUAAAAUAAAAUUAAUAGCAUAUUUGUUUCCUCUUUGCUGUAGUAACAGCCUCUUCUCUUCUGAGAAGGCUUUAUACGAGAUGUUAGAACAUUGCUGUUAGGAUUGGAUUUCAUUCAGCCACACAAACAUUAGUGAGGUCAGGAACUGUUCUGGUGUUUUAUGGUUCUCCAUAGUGUCCCAUUCUAAUGGCAGUGCUUUUCUAUGGAGAAUAUAGAAACAGUGUCUGAAUGCCUGUCAGCAAUGCAUGUACCUUAAAGGAAAGGUUUGGCAAGAAAUCAAAUUACCUGUAAUUUUCCACUAACCCUACAAGUACUCUAUCAGUCAAGACAUGUUUGUGUCCAAAGCUUCCUUCUUUAGUUUAGUGCUGGAGCUACAAGGCCAAUGUUGCUAACAAAGACUAUAAGUCAAUGGACACCCAAACCUUGCUUUCCCCAAAACUUCUUCUAACCUUCUCAAAAAUAUAUAUGUUUUCAUUCUGAUCAUUGCAGCUUGUCAAUGUGGUUUAGAGUACAGUAUGACUUACAAAAUGUGACUUGUAAAAAUGGACAAAUCUUCAGUGAUGCUGAAUGCUGUGGGCAGCCUGUAUAGACAAGUGUUGUGCUGAAUUCAACUUCCCUUCUCGAGCAUGCGCACCAAUGAUGAUACAGACUGUUCACAAUUUCUGUUGCUUCUUUUUAUAAACAAUUGUUAAUCUUGAAUUUUAAAACUGAAGAUCUUUGUGUAUCAGAGGUGGAAAAUAAGAAAAUUACAUUUACUCUUGUUACUGUACUAAAAUUAAAUCAUAGUACUUUUA
This is a long non-coding RNA of Pygocentrus nattereri (red-bellied piranha), 1464 nucleotides long. RefSeq lists it as uncharacterized. The record is from RefSeq and is a predicted model, not a curated record. Lineage: Eukaryota; Metazoa; Chordata; Actinopteri; Characiformes; Serrasalmidae. The transcript has 3 exons.